Molecule: ribosomal RNA, 561 nt
Filed under: Faxonius maletae
Lineage: Eukaryota; Metazoa; Arthropoda; Malacostraca; Decapoda; Cambaridae
Description: Orconectes maletae partial 16S ribosomal RNA
Rfam family: Bacterial large subunit ribosomal RNA
Source: RNAcentral
CAAAAACAUGUCUAUAUGAGAGAUUUAUAAAGUCUGACCUGCCCAUUGGAAACUGAAAGGCCGCGGUAUUAUGACCGUGCAAAGGUAGCAUAAUCAUUAGUUUUUUAAUUGAAGGCUAGAAUGAAUGGUUGGACAAGAAAUAAUCUGUCUUAAAUUAAGAUAUUGAAUUUAACUUUUGAGUGAAAAGGCUUAAAUGAUCUAAAGGGACGAUAAGACCCUAUAAAACUUUAUAUUUUAAGGUAGAAGAUAAUUUUAUUUAAAUAUUAUUAUUUUAAAAUAUUUUGUUGGGGCGACAAGGAUAUAAUAAUGGGUAACUGUCUUUUAUUUUUACAAUAAUAUUUGAUUUGUUGAUCCUAAAAGGGAUUAAAGAUUAAGUUACUUUAGGGAUAACAGCGUAAUUUUUUUUGAGAGUUCUUAUCGACAAAAAAGUUUGCGACCUCGAUGUUGAAUUAAAAGUUCUUUAUAGAGUAGAGACUAUAAAAGAAGGUCUGUUCGACCUUUAAAGUUUUACAUGAUUUGAGUUCAGACCGGCGUAAGCCAGGUUGGUUUUUCUAUCUAAAA